AUACAUCACAUGGAGAACAGCGAUGGCAGAGCUCCAUAUGGCAGACAUGCAAAGCAUUUCAAACAAUGAUUCAAACAGCGAUACAAGCGAUCGAUCGAGCGCAAGUGAGGAUAUCCAAGAUUUUGAAGAGUUGGAGGAAGAAGAGGAGGUUGGAAUUUUACAUGUUGGACCUUACAUGUACGAGCCAGAUGCUAAUCAGGAUGCAAACAAUGUGCCCAGUCGACCUGACAUGGAAUGGAGACAAGACCCAUCAAGAUUGGUGUACUAAUGGUAAAUGCCAGCAAAUGCCUCCAGCAGUUGAAUGUGUUUGCUGCCAUGAAAUUCAAGGAGUAGUGACUGUACGUCGACAAGGAGAGGAACACUUCAAUCAAGUGCUGGACUGCAUCACCGACCAUCCUGGACUCAAAGCUGUGUGCCUGGACCCACAUGGAUUACAGGUGGCAUGGAUGACCUACAAGCAGCAGUACAAAGGCAAGGCAUUUGAUGGGCCACAGGAUGCGCUGAUGCUGGAAGUUUCUUGGUCAGGACAACCGUGUUGUGCUCCCAGCAUGCGCCGUGUCUUGUAUCAGGGCACAUUUUCCACCACCAGAAGAGGAGUCAGCUGUACUCAAAGGGUUUCGUGUU
This is a long non-coding RNA of Hippocampus comes (tiger tail seahorse), 624 nucleotides long. RefSeq lists it as uncharacterized. The record is from RefSeq and is a predicted model, not a curated record. Lineage: Eukaryota; Metazoa; Chordata; Actinopteri; Syngnathiformes; Syngnathidae. The transcript is spliced from 2 exons.